Arabidopsis lyrata subsp. lyrata is the source of this 776-nucleotide long non-coding RNA. RefSeq lists it as uncharacterized. The transcript is spliced from 3 exons. Lineage: Eukaryota; Viridiplantae; Streptophyta; Magnoliopsida; Brassicales; Brassicaceae. The record is from RefSeq and is a predicted model, not a curated record.
AACCCUUUUCUCUUUCAUAGGCCACGAUCUCCACCUCUUCCACUUCUUCUCCUCCAAAAUCUCUCCAUAGAUCUGAAAUCAUAUACCGUUCCUCUAUAUGUUCCUCUAUAUUCCAUGGUUUUAUUUUUUCUUGCUCUGUUUCUGUUUUAUCUGAGUGGAUUCAAUUUCUCUUAUAAAUCUUUUUCCAUAGGAUUUUUAUGUAAUCAAUCAAUGCCUAUGCUUCUCCUGUCUCACAAAUACUCGAGGAGCACCAACGAAUUUUGGCUUCUCAACACGUAGCCUUAAAACCCAUUUUGGUUUCUUUUGAAACUUAUGUGGGAGAACAUAACAGCCAAGCAUGGGACGGCCAUUUGUUGAUAAGUUCUUUACUUUCAAGCUUUGGAUGUAAAGGAAUGUUUGCAAACUGAAUUACUGAUGAUGAGAAGAGGAACACAUUAUUAUUGGUUGGAGCUAAUGAAUAACCGGAUAUCGCCAACAAAUGUGUGCAGGCUGCCAAAAAAAUAUGUAUUAGAAAAGAAUCAAAGCAGGAGAAUGAGAGUAAGUACAAGAGGAAAUGUAUAUACCCCAGCCUAAUUAUUGUACUUAUACUUCUCUUAUAUUUCUAAGCUCUCUAAGUAUUAGUUAUUACUGUAUUGCAAUUGAUUGAUUCGCUAUUAGGCAGAUAAGUUGUACAUUUUCUUAUAUUUUUUUCUUAACCUAUUGUAUAUUCUUCGGUCAUUGACAAACAAGUUGUUGUAUAUUUAUGCUGUCAUAAUUAUUUUAAAAGUCUUAGUUAA